GGGGAUUUAGCUCAGCGGCAUAAGCGCCUGCCUUGCAAGCAGGCAGUCGUGAGAUAGAUCCCCA
RNAcentral lists this transfer RNA (64 nucleotides) under Cavia porcellus (domestic guinea pig). It matches the Rfam family "tRNA", at positions 1 to 62 of the family's 71-position model. Rfam says of the family: Transfer RNA (tRNA) molecules are approximately 80 nucleotides in length. Their secondary structure includes four short double-helical elements and three loops (D, anti-codon, and T loops). Lineage: Eukaryota; Metazoa; Chordata; Mammalia; Rodentia; Caviidae. The record is from Rfam by way of RNAcentral.